UACGGAGGGGGUUAGCGUUGUUCGGAAUUACUGGGCGUAAAGCGCGCGUAGGCGGACCAGAAAGUUGGGGGUGAAAUCCCGGGGCUCAACCCCGGAACUGCCUCCAAAACUCCUGGUCUUGAGUUCGAGAGAGGUGAGUGGAACUCCGAGUGUAGAGGUGAAAUUCGUAGAUAUUCGGAAGAACACCAGUGGCGAAGGCGGCUCACUGGCUCGAUACUGACGCUGAGGUGCGAAAGUGUGGGGAGCAAACAGG
Molecule: unclassified non-coding RNA, 253 nt
Filed under: uncultured Rhodobacterales bacterium
Lineage: Bacteria; Pseudomonadati; Pseudomonadota; Alphaproteobacteria; Rhodobacterales
Description: contains 16S-23S intergenic spacer region
Rfam family: Bacterial small subunit ribosomal RNA
Source: RNAcentral